GAUGAACGCUGGCGGCGUGCCUAAUACAUGCAAGUCGAGCGAACGGACGAGAAGCUUGCUUCUCUGAUGUUAGCGGCGGACGGGUGAGUAACACGUGGAUAACCUACCUAUAAGACUGGGAUAACUUCGGGAAACCGGAGCUAAUACCGGAUAAUAUUUUGAACCGCAUGGUUCAAAAGUGAAAGACGGUCUUGCUGUCCCUUAUGGAUGGAUCCGCGCUGCAUUAGCUAGUUGGUAAGGUAACGGCUUACCAAGGCAACGAUGCAUAGCCGACCUGAGAGGGUGAUCGGCCACACUGGAACUGAGACACGGUCCAGACUCCUACGGGAGGCAGCAGUAGGGAAUCUUCCGCAAUGGGCGAAAGCCUGACGGAGCAACGCCGCGUGAGUGAUGAAGGUCUUCGGAUCGUAAAACUCUGUUAUUAGGGAAGAACAUAUGUGUAAGUAACUGUGCACAUCUUGACGGUACCUAAUCAGAAAGCCACGGCUAACUACGUG
This 497-nucleotide ribosomal RNA is filed under the name uncultured bacterium. RNAcentral describes it as "partial 16S ribosomal RNA". It matches the Rfam family "Bacterial small subunit ribosomal RNA", at positions 28 to 507 of the family's 1533-position model. The record is from RNAcentral.